AUUGAACGCUGGCGGCAGGCUUAACACAUGCAAGUCGAGCGAGCGGCGGACGGGUGAGUAAUGUCUGGGAAACUGCCUGAUGGAGGGGGAUAACUACUGGAAACGGUAGCUAAUACCGCAUACCAUCAGAUGUGCCCAGAUGGGAUUAGCUAGUAGGGGGGGUAAUGGCUCACCUAGGCGACGAUCCCUCGCUGGUCUGAGAGGAUGACCAGCCAUCCUGGAAAGUGGACAAGGUCCAGACUCCUACGGGAGGCAGCAGUGGGGAAUAUUGCACAAUGGGCGCAAGCCUGAUGCAGCCAUGCCGCGGGUGUGAAGAAGGCCUUCGGAUUGUAAAGCACUUUAAGUUGGGAGGCGUUACCAACAGAAUAAGCACCGGCUAACUUCGUGCCAGCAGCCGCGGUAAUAC
Molecule: ribosomal RNA, 406 nt
Filed under: uncultured bacterium
Lineage: Bacteria
Description: partial 16S ribosomal RNA
Rfam family: Bacterial small subunit ribosomal RNA
Source: RNAcentral